Molecule: transfer RNA, 76 nt
Filed under: Candidatus Shapirobacteria bacterium CG_4_9_14_0_2_um_filter_40_11
Lineage: Bacteria; Candidatus Shapironibacteriota
Also listed under: 2 other names
Description: tRNA-Arg
Rfam family: tRNA
About the family: Transfer RNA (tRNA) molecules are approximately 80 nucleotides in length. Their secondary structure includes four short double-helical elements and three loops (D, anti-codon, and T loops). Further hydrogen bonds mediate the characteristic L-shaped molecular structure. tRNAs have two regions of fundamental functional importance: the anti-codon, which is responsible for specific mRNA codon recognition, and the 3' end, to which the tRNAs corresponding amino acid is attached (by aminoacyl-tRNA synthetases). tRNAs cope with the degeneracy of the genetic code in two manners: having more than one tRNA (with a specific anti-codon) for a particular amino acid; and 'wobble' base-pairing, i.e. permitting non-standard base-pairing at the 3rd anti-codon position.
Source: RNAcentral
GCGCCUGUAGCUCAACGGAUAGAGCACUUGUCUUCGGAACAAGGGGUUGAGUGUUCAAUUCACUCCAGGCGCACUA